AAUGCAAGCUAUUUCCUUGACGAAAUACAGUACCAAAAAAGAUUAGAUGAAAAAAAUAAAAGAUACAUAUGAGCAAAUUCAUUUGAACUUGAAGAAGAAAAAUGAAAUGCUUGAAGCUAACUUAAAUAUGAACAUGCAACAUUUACAAGAAAUAAAUCAGAUAAUAAUGAAAAAAGAAAAAAAAACAUAUGAUAUAAAAUUACUACAACAAAAAAAUGAUAAUAACUUAAAAAUGAUAAAUUUUUAUAAACUCGAAAUAAAUAAAUUAAGAGAAGCUCUAUUAUCAGUGAAAACUUAUUAUUACAACUAUAGAAUUAAAUCAAAAAAAAACAUUAACGAAUUAAUGAUUCAAUAUGAGAGAAUAAAAUUUCAAUUUAUUGAAUUACAAAAGAGACAAAAAAGUUAUGAACAAAAUUUUCAAAAAAAAUACACAAAUGCUUGGAACUUGCAAAAAAACGAGGCCAACAAGCACAUUGAAAAAAUUAAUAAAUGCAAAUAAAAUAAUUCACGAACAAAUCCUUUUAAAAGAAUUUCAUCAAACUAAUUAUAAACAAUUGAUAGAAGAUAACAGCAGUUUAAUUUCAACAACCGUUAAAGAUCAUGAAAUCCCUCAAACAGAGUUAAAUACAAAACGUGUUAAUAUACAACAUAUUGAAAAUGUUAAGAAGCUACUUCUGCAAGAAUGCAAUUUCCUAGUCGAAGACGAUAUCGAUGACGAACAACAAAAAAUAAAAAAACUAUUAAAAUACAUAGGUGUGUAUACACAAGAAGAUUUAGAACUACUAACACAAUUGUUUUAUUUAGAUUAUGAGCACGAAAAUGACAGUAACAAUAAUAACAACAAAGAGAGUGACCAUAAUGCGAUAAAAUAUAAUUCAGAAUAUACAUUAGAUAUAAUUUAUAAGUAUUAUCAAGAAAAAGAAAAAGAAAAUGCUUGUAAAAUAACAAAGAAUAAACAACAAUAUAAAAAUAGGUUAAAUAUUUCUUUAAAGUUAAUAAUUGAGAGAAGAAAAAAAGAAAAAGAGUUCUGGGAAAACUUAACGCAUAUUACAUCUAAUGAUAUGAUAGAAAUGUGGAAGACAUUCUCAGUUUUUGUGGAAAAGUAUUACUAUAUAUUAAAAGAUCGAGCAACUAUUGUCCAAAAUAUUUUUAAUGAAGAAAAAUUAAUCAUUGAAAAUAAAAACAAAAUUGAAAACAUGCGUGAAGCUUUAUCCAAGCUAUAAACAAGUAAAGAUUCAUAUAUUUUGUUUUUAAAGAUUUAAACCUUGUUUAGUGUAAUAAAAUAAAAAUGCAGAAGUCUGUAUUGAGAAAG
This 1312-nucleotide long non-coding RNA is filed under the name Piliocolobus tephrosceles (Ugandan red Colobus). RNAcentral's name for it is "lncRNA (ENSPTEG00000017859.1)". Lineage: Eukaryota; Metazoa; Chordata; Mammalia; Primates; Cercopithecidae. The record is from RNAcentral.